ACUCCUACGGGAGGCAGCAGUGAGGAAUAUUGGUCAAUGGGCGAGAGCCUGAACCAGCCAAGUCGCGUGAAGGAAGAAGGAUCUAUGGUUCGUAAACUUCUUUUGCAGGGGAAUAAAGUUCAGGACGUGUCCUGUUUUGUAUGUACCCUGAGAAUAAGGAUCGGCUAACUCCGUGCCAGCAGCCGCGGUAAUAC
RNAcentral lists this ribosomal RNA (194 nucleotides) under uncultured bacterium. Its description in RNAcentral is "partial 16S ribosomal RNA". It matches the Rfam family "Bacterial small subunit ribosomal RNA", at positions 335 to 526 of the family's 1533-position model. The record is from RNAcentral.